This 849-nucleotide long non-coding RNA is filed under the name Malus domestica (apple). RNAcentral describes it as "long non-coding RNA (MDOM_LNC014215)". Lineage: Eukaryota; Viridiplantae; Streptophyta; Magnoliopsida; Rosales; Rosaceae. The record is from RNAcentral.
ACACCUUUACCAUUGCCAUUGCCAUCAUUGCCACCACUCAGCAUUGCCACUACCAUUACUGCCACUACUCACCAUUGUCAUUGCCAACACCCCCACUACUAUGACCAUUUUUUUUAAUUACAUACAAUUAUAUCAUUUUUGCACUAAUUUACUACAUGUUUUUACAAAGAUUUUCAUACUUACAACACUUUUGGAAUACAGUUUAUCAAACGCUCAACUAAUUUAUUUUACAGCUGAUUAUUCUUAAAGCACAAUAGAAGCUGUUUUUUUCUUUUAUAAUUUUUUUAAAGCAUAUCAAUCCUAAGUCGCCCCUAAGACAUAAAACUUUUGUAAGUGUUGGGUUUACACAUGCCCGUCUCAUUUUGUCACUCUUUUUAUUAGUGUAAAAUGUUCAUGAUAAAUCCUAAGGUUUAAAUUUAUUUUUCAAAUUGGUCUUUAUGUUUCAGUUUUUCAACGUUGCACUCUAAGGUUUUGUAAUUGUAUCAGUUUGCAUGUGUGAAGCUUAAAAUAAUCUUAGAAAUUCUAGAGACAACAUGUGGACUUUUGCCCAAGAAAGACAAGAUUGCCCUCAUUAAAUGGGUAGGCUCCUCAGAUAUUCUCACACACACCUCACACCCUGAAGGUCACUAGCAGCUGAAUACGACUGCCCAUAACUCACAUGCUAUUGGCAAGGAAAAGUCAAAGCAUUAAAAAUAAGGAUUAAUUACCCAAAUCCUAUCUUUAAUACAUUCCCAAUUGAAAAUUGACUUCAUUCAAGUAAGUAAUCCCAAUUUAAAUCAAUUAGGGAUAAUUACUCCAUUAUCUCAAAUUAUUAUUUCCUAUUUAAUAUCUUGAGAAUAUUUCUCCAUA